CGGUGUUUAACUGGCGUGAUGUGGGACGUCCUACCGGUGGGCUUAGCCUCGCGAGGGGCGGCCCAACUAAUAUCCCGUCGCGGUGCUCUUUACUGAGUGUCGAGUCGGGCCGGUACGUUUACUUUGAACAAAUUAGAGUGCUUAAAGCAGGCUAUCCUCGCCUGAAUACUGCGUGCAUGGAAUAAUGGAAUAGGACCUCGGUUCUAUUUUGUUGGUUUUCGGAACCCCGAGGUAAUGAUUAAUAGGGACAGAUGGGGGCAUUCGUAUUGCGACGUUAGAGGUGAAAUUCUUGGAUCGUCGCAAGACGGACAGAAGCGAAAGCAUUUGCCAAAAAUGUUUUCAUUAAUCAAGAACGAAAGUUAGAGGUUCGAAGGCGAUCAGAUACCGCCCUAGUUCUAACCAUAAACGAUGCCAGCUAGCGAUCCGCCGAAGUUCCUCCGAUGACUCGGCGGGCAGCUUCCGGGAACCCAAAGCUUUUGGGUUCCGGGGGAAGUAUGGUUGCAAAGCUGAAACUUAAAGGAAUUGACGGAAGGGCACCACCAGGAGUGGAGCCUGCGGCUUAAUUUGACUCAACACGGGAAACCUCACCAGGCCCAGACACCGGAAGGAUUGACAGAUUGAUAGCUCUUUCUUGAUUCGGUGGGUGGUGGUGCAUGGCCGUUCUUAGUUGGUGGAGCGAUUUGUCUGGUUAAUUCCGAUAACGAACGAGACUCUAGCCUGCUAAAUAGGCGUACCUUAUGGUAUCGCGAAGGCCCCCGGCUUCGGCCGGUGGGUUUUUACUACCAACGUACAAACAAAUCUUCUUAGAGGGACAGGCGG
RNAcentral lists this ribosomal RNA (819 nucleotides) under uncultured eukaryote. Its description in RNAcentral is "SSU rRNA". It matches the Rfam family "Eukaryotic small subunit ribosomal RNA", at positions 629 to 1426 of the family's 1831-position model. The record is from RNAcentral.